GGUCAGCUCAGUCGGCAGAGCAUGAGGCUUUUAAUCUCAGCGUCGUGGGUUUGAGCCCCAUGUUGGCCA
This is a non-coding RNA of Podarcis lilfordi (Lilford's wall lizard), 69 nucleotides long. NCBI's taxonomy places the organism in Eukaryota, Metazoa, Chordata, Lepidosauria, Squamata, Lacertidae. The record is from the annotation of a GenBank genome assembly.